ACCUUGUCUCCAGCUGAGGCUGAGGGAGCACGCCUUUGUUUAGGGCCUCUGGUCUCGGCCUGUGUCAGAGCUUGCAGGGCAGUUGGAGCUCUCUCUGUAGGGACAACUGGUUUUAGAGGACUCCUGCUUUCCCCAGUUGUACCAGUUCAGGUGUAAACCUGACAUGCGAUAGGAUCCGGCAUGGUGUCCACACUCAUUAGACACAUGGCAUCGUUUCCAAAGAUACAGGCCCCUGCACUUCAGCCUGAUGCCAGAGGGUAUACCCAUAAACCUGCUUGACUUGGAAAUCAAAGAGAGAUUUUGGCAGAGAAAAAUCUGAGGCACCUAAUGUUAGAGUACAGCAAAGAGAGCAAGAAUGGUAUUUGUUUAGAAAAACCCUCAGAAUCAUUGCGAACCAUUCAGACAGCACAGCAGCUUCUGGAGGUGAAGGCUGAUCAGACAUGGGCUGAGUUUCCAAGUUCUCAUGGGCACAUGUGCUUUCCUGCGCUUAGACUUCUCUCCUCCAGGCUCCCACAGUUCAGGGGAACCAGCGCUCAGAGACGGGCGCAAUAUUUCUCUCAACUUCAACAGCGCAGAACAUAUUGACUCCUGGGUCCUGCUGAUGGGACUUGCUUCCCGGCUCCACUUCUUAAGUGUUGUGACCGUAUUUGUUCCACUCAGCCUCAAGCCUUCCGUUGUGAGUGGGAGGCAGUGGGAGUGCCUGGCUCAUAAAACUGCGGAUCCACCCGAGAAUCAGAAAGGCGAGGCUGUGUCUGAGACCAGGCUAAAGAUACCAGAAACCUUUCCUAUUAAAUUUAAACACUGAACAAUGAUAUAAUCAAAGCUUACACAAUGACCAAGCCAAGAAAUAAAAGAAUAAAGGAAUGGUGAAGGCAAAGGCAGCCUGGAGGUGGGAAAGACCUGUUUUCCACUAAAUGAGGAGCAGCUCCCCCAUGACAGCAGGCAGUGGCGAGGUGAAACGCCUUUCUCCCCCAGAGGUGCUGAGGGCUCCAGACCCUCAGGACCAGCAAAGGCAGUGAGUGAUUCAUUCCAUAAAUCCAUGCAUGGCGGAUUUAAAAUGGGAAUAUUUUGGAGACAAAUGUUGAGAUUAUCUGAGCCCUUCAUUCAACGUUGCAAUGCAAUGUUUCAGAAGGUACAUAGAGGCUGUUUUUUGAGCAGAAUGCCUGGAGAGCUGGAUGACCUUCAGUUGCUAUUGGUUGAAAGGGUAAUAUUUGUAUAUCAUUUUAAGUAUUUCUACACUUUUCUGAAAUGAAUUUAAAAGUCACAUUGUACAUACAAACAUAUGAUGAAAUAUUGAAAAUCAUACCUGCUUCUUAGAUUGGAAGGUUACAUUUCAUUAAGAUGGUAAGUCUUAAGCCAGGCGCGGUGGCUCACGGCUAUAAUCACAGCAAUUUGGGAGGCCGAGGCGGGUGGCUCACCUGAGGUUGGGAGUUCGAUACCAGCCUGACCAACAUGGAGAAACCCUGUCUCUACUAAAAACACAAAAUUAGUCAGAUGUGGUGGCGCAUGCCUGUAAUCCUAGCUACUCAGAAGUCCGAAGCAGGAGAAUCGCUUGAACCUGGGAGGCUGAGGUUGCAGUGAGCCAAGAUCAUGUCAUUGCACUCUAGCUUGAGCAACAAGAGUGAAACGCCAUCUCAAAAAAAAAAAAAAAAAAAAAAAAA
This 1661-nucleotide long non-coding RNA is filed under the name Macaca mulatta (Rhesus monkey). RNAcentral describes it as "lncRNA (ENSMMUG00000038655.2)". Lineage: Eukaryota; Metazoa; Chordata; Mammalia; Primates; Cercopithecidae. The record is from RNAcentral.